CGUGACCCUAGGUCAGGUGGGGUUAGUCGCUAAGUUUAA
RNAcentral lists this ribosomal RNA (39 nucleotides) under Polylepis lanuginosa. Its description in RNAcentral is "partial 26S ribosomal RNA". The record is from RNAcentral. Lineage: Eukaryota; Viridiplantae; Streptophyta; Magnoliopsida; Rosales; Rosaceae.